This 254-nucleotide ribosomal RNA is filed under the name uncultured bacterium. RNAcentral describes it as "partial 16S ribosomal RNA". It matches the Rfam family "Bacterial small subunit ribosomal RNA", at positions 524 to 776 of the family's 1533-position model. The record is from RNAcentral.
UACGGGGGGGGGCAAGCGUUGUUCGGAAUUACUGGGCGUAAAGGGCUCGUAGGUGGCCAACUAAGUCAGACGUGAAAUCCCUCGGCUUAACCGGGGAACUGCGUCUGAUACUGGAUGGCUUGAGUUCGGGAGAGGGAUGCGGAAUUCCGAGUGUAGAGGUGAAAUUCGUAGAUAUUCGGAGGAACACCAGUGGCGAAGGCGGCUCACUGGCUCGGUACUGACGCUGAGGUGCGAAAGCGUGGGGAGCAAACAGG